GAUGAACGCUGGCGGCGUGCUUAACACAUGCAAGUCGAACGGAAAGGCUCCUGCUUGCAGGGGUACUCGAGUGGCGAACGGGUGAGUAACACGUGGGUGAUCUGCCCUUCACUUCGGGAUAAGCCUGGGAAACUGGGUCUAAUACCGGAUAGGACGAUGUUUUGGAUGCCAUUGUGGAAAGUUUUUCGGUGGGGGAUGAUCUCGCGGCCUAUCAGCUUGUUGGUGGGGUAAUGGCCUACCAAGGCGUCGACGGGUAGCCGGCCUGAGAGGGUGUACGGCCACAUUGGGACUGAGAUACGGCCCAGACUCCUACGGGAGGCAGCAGUGGGGAAUAUUGCACAAUGGGCGGAAGCCUGAUGCAGCGACGCCGCGUGGGGGAUGACGGCCUUCGGGUUGUAAACUGCUUUCGCUAGGGACGAAGCGCAAGUGACGGUACCUGGAGAAGAAGCACCGGCUAACUACGUG
This 465-nucleotide ribosomal RNA is filed under the name uncultured bacterium. RNAcentral describes it as "partial 16S ribosomal RNA". It matches the Rfam family "Bacterial small subunit ribosomal RNA", at positions 28 to 507 of the family's 1533-position model. The record is from RNAcentral.